This 292-nucleotide ribosomal RNA is filed under the name uncultured bacterium. RNAcentral's name for it is "partial 16S ribosomal RNA". It matches the Rfam family "Bacterial small subunit ribosomal RNA", at positions 226 to 507 of the family's 1533-position model. The record is from RNAcentral.
GCGGCCGAUAUCAGAUUAGGUAGUUGGUGAGGUAAAGGCUCACCAAGCCAACGAUCUGUAGCUGGUCUGAGAGGACCGACCAGCCACACUGGAACUGAGACACGGUCCAGACUCCUACGGGAGGCAGCAGUGGGGAAUUUUGGACAAUGGACGCAAGUCUGAUCCAGCCAUUCCGCGUGCAGGAUGAAGGCCCUCGGGUUGUAAACUGCUUUUCGUACGGAACGAAAAGGUUUCUAUUAAUACUACGGAGCUCAUGACGGUACCGUAAGAAUAAGCACCGGCUAACUACGUG